AUUGAACGCUGGCGGCAUGCUUGACACAUGCAAGUCGAACGGCAGCACGAAAGAGCUGGCUCUUUUGGGGGCGAGGGGCGAACGGGUGAGUCAUGCAUCGGAACGUACCGAGUAAAGGGGGAUAACUGCCCGAAAGGAUGGCUAAUACCGCAUACGCUUUGAGAAGGAAAGUGGGGGCACUUCGGACCCCACGUUAGUCGAGCGGCCGAUGUCUGAUUAGCUAGUGGGUGGGGUAAAGGCCGACCAAGGCGACGAUCAGUAGCGGGUCUGAGAGGAUGAACCGCCCCCCGCCGAGUGGGACACCGCCCAGACCCCUACGGGAGGCAGCGGUGGGGAAUUGUGGACCGUGCGCGCAGACCUGAUACAGCCAUGCCGCGUGUCUGAAGAAGGCCUUCCGGUUGUAAAGGACUUUUGUUAGGGAAGAAACGGAUAGUGUUAGUACCAUCAUCUGCUGCCGGUACCUAAAGAAUAAGCACCCGCUAACUUCGUG
RNAcentral lists this ribosomal RNA (490 nucleotides) under uncultured bacterium. RNAcentral's name for it is "partial 16S ribosomal RNA". It matches the Rfam family "Bacterial small subunit ribosomal RNA", at positions 30 to 507 of the family's 1533-position model. The record is from RNAcentral.